CAGCUCGCGGCCUCUCACCGAGCCCAAGAGCCGUUGGUGUGCAGGUGAUUCAGUGCGUGUGUGUUUCAUUGUGGAUUUGUUUCAAAGACAUUGUCAUCUGUGUAGAAGCCAGUUUCAAUUUCUGGAUUCUACCCCUUGCCCUGCUGGCAGGGCAUUGAGCGGCACCCGUUGCCGGCCACCUGGGUGCGGAGAGCGAGGAGGGUGAACGGAGGAGCAACCCCGAGCAUCUGCCAGUCAGCUCCAUCCGAUCUAGAGAUGGAGCAAAUAAGGCGGAUGCUGAGGAGGAAGGCCGGGCACGUGCCUCCAGAGCCGGCAGCAAACAUCAGGCAGCCUGCCCAGGAGGAGAGCGGCCCCUCUGUCCCCGCGGGCAGGGAAGAGGCUCGUGGCCAGGGGAAAGGGAGGAGCUGCUUCGCCUGCUGGAGGAGGCGGAAGACAGCAGCUCCUCUAGCUGACCCGGAGGCACCUUCUGGGCCGAAACGGAAGUGGCCCCGGGUUCAGCUGUGGAGCAGAGAGGCAGGGGAGGGCAGGAGCCGGGGACGGCAGCUCUGGGGCUUCCACUGCAGGAAGCCAAGGAGCCAGGAGCUGCGCCCCAGGGCCCAGCAGGAGCCGCCAACCACUGUGGCAGCUGAGGGGCCUCCCGCCGGCCCCAGCCUGGCCCCGGAGGAAA
Molecule: long non-coding RNA, 667 nt
Organism: Mauremys reevesii (Reeves's turtle)
Lineage: Eukaryota; Metazoa; Chordata; Testudines; Geoemydidae
Exons: 3
Source: RefSeq, a predicted model, not a curated record